This 79-nucleotide transfer RNA is filed under the name Marmota monax (woodchuck). RNAcentral describes it as "tRNA.Ala". Lineage: Eukaryota; Metazoa; Chordata; Mammalia; Rodentia; Sciuridae. The record is from RNAcentral.
UUGGGAUUGGCUAACUUCGGUUGGUACAGUGCUUGCCUCGCAUGCACAAGGCCCUGGGUUCAAUCCCCAGCAUCACAAA